Molecule: ribosomal RNA, 740 nt
Filed under: uncultured bacterium
Lineage: Bacteria
Description: bacterial SSU rRNA
Rfam family: Bacterial small subunit ribosomal RNA
Source: RNAcentral
AGAGUUUGAUCCUGGCUCAGAACGAACGCUGGCGGCAGGCUUAACACAUGCAAGUCGAACGCACCGCAAGGUGAGUGGCAGACGGGUGAGUAACGCGUGGGAACGUGCCCUUCAGUUCGGGAUAACCCAGGGAAACUUGGGCUAAUACCGGAUACGUGCGAGAGCAGAAAGAUUUAUCGCUGAAGGAUCGGCCCGCGUCUGAUUAGCUAGUUGGUAGGGUAAUGGCCUACCAAGGCGACGAUCAGUAGCUGGUCUGAGAGGAUGAUCAGCCACAUUGGGACUGAGACACGGCCCAAACUCCUACGGGAGGCAGCAGUGGGGAAUAUUGGACAAUGGGCGCAAGCCUGAUCCAGCCAUGCCGCGUGAGUGAUGAAGGCCUUAGGGUUGUAAAGCUCUUUCGGCGGGGACGAUAAUGACGGUACCCGCAGAAGAAGCCCCGGCUAACUUCGUGCCAGCAGCCGCGGUAAUACGAAGGGGGCUAGCGUUGUUCGGAAUCACUGGGCGUAAAGGGCGCGUAGGCGGCCUGAUAAGUCGGGGGUGAAAGCCUGUGGCUCAACCACAGAAUUGCCUUCGAUACUGUCGGGCUUGAGACCGGAAGAGGUCAGUGGAACUGCGAGUGUAGAGGUGAAAUUCGUAGAUAUUCGCAAGAACACCAGUGGCGAAGGCGGCUGACUGGUCCGGUUCUGACGCUGAGGAGCGAAAGCGUGGGGAGCGAACAGGAUUAGAUACCCUAGUAGUCC